UACGGGGGGGGCAAGCGUUGUUCGGAAUUACUGGGCGUAAAGGGCUCGUAGGCGGCCGACUAAGUCAGACGUGAAAUCCCUCGGCUUAACCGGGGAACUGCGUCUGAUACUGGUUGGCUUGAGUGUGGGAGAGGGAUGCGGAAUUCCAGGUGUAGCGGUGAAAUGCGUAGAUAUCUGGAGGAACACCGGUGGCGAAGGCGGCAUCCUGGACCAUUACUGACGCUGAGGAGCGAAAGCCAGGGGAGCAAACGGG
RNAcentral lists this ribosomal RNA (253 nucleotides) under uncultured bacterium. RNAcentral's name for it is "partial 16S ribosomal RNA". It matches the Rfam family "Bacterial small subunit ribosomal RNA", at positions 524 to 776 of the family's 1533-position model. The record is from RNAcentral.